GACGAACGCUGGCGGCGUGCUUAACACAUGCAAGUCGAACGGAAAGGCCCUGCUUUUGUGGGGUGCUCGAGUGGCGAACGGGUGAGUAACACGUGAGUAACCUGCCCUUGACUUUGGGAUAACUUCAGGAAACUGGGGCUAAUACCGGAUAGGAGCUCCUGCUGCAUGGUGGGGGUUGGAAAGUUUCGGCGGUUGGGGAUGGACUCGCGGCUUAUCGGCUUGUUGGUGGGGUAGUGGCUUACCAAGGCUUUGACGGGUAGCCGGCCUGAGAGGGUGACCGGCCACAUUGGGACUGAGAUACGGCCCAGACUCCUACGGGAGGCAGCAGUGGGGAAGAUUGCACAAUGGGCGGAAGCCUGAUGCAGCAACGCCGCGUGCGGGAUGACGGCCUUCGGGUUGUAAACCGCUUUCGCCUGUGACGAAGCGUGAGUGACGGUAAUGGGUAAAGAAGCACCGGCUAACUACGUG
This 468-nucleotide ribosomal RNA is filed under the name uncultured bacterium. Its description in RNAcentral is "partial 16S ribosomal RNA". It matches the Rfam family "Bacterial small subunit ribosomal RNA", at positions 28 to 507 of the family's 1533-position model. The record is from RNAcentral.